CAGUUUGGGCUCAUUUUACCCUUGAAGGUCCAGGUUACAAUGAACCUUCAGUAACACAUGCUUGUCGUAAGAGGCGACUAACGGGAUCGGGCGGUUAGGCUCGCUGACUGGGUUGUCACAUGUCAUCGGCUC
This is a long non-coding RNA of Haliotis rubra (blacklip abalone), 132 nucleotides long. RefSeq lists it as uncharacterized. Lineage: Eukaryota; Metazoa; Mollusca; Gastropoda; Lepetellida; Haliotidae. The record is from RefSeq and is a predicted model, not a curated record. The transcript is spliced from 3 exons.